GAUGAACGCUGGCGGCGUGCCUAAUACAUGCAAGUCGAGCGAACGGACGAGAAGCUUGCUUCUCUGAUGUUAGCGGCGGACGGGUGAGUAACACGUGGAUAACCUACCUAUAAGACUGGGAUAACUUCGGGAAACCGGAGCUAAUACCGGAUAAUAUUUUGAACCGCAUGGUUCAAAAGUGAAAGACGGUCUUGCUGUCACUUAUAGAUGGAUCCGCGCUGCAUUAGCUAGUUGGUAAGGUAACGGCUUACCAAGGCAACGAUGCAUAGCCGACCUGAGAGGGGGAUCGGCCACACUGAAACUGAGACACGGCCCAGACUCCUACGGGAGGCAGAAGUAGGGAAUCUGCCGCAAUGGGCGAAAGCCUGACGGAGCAACGCCGCGUGAGUGAUGAAGGUCUUCGGAUCGUAAAACGCUGUUAUUAGGGAAGAACAUAUGUGUAAGUAACUGUGCACAUCUUGACGGUACCUAAUCAGAAAGCCACGGCUAACUACGU
RNAcentral lists this ribosomal RNA (496 nucleotides) under uncultured bacterium. Its description in RNAcentral is "partial 16S ribosomal RNA". It matches the Rfam family "Bacterial small subunit ribosomal RNA", at positions 28 to 506 of the family's 1533-position model. The record is from RNAcentral.